ACAACCCCACAUUUGAACCUUUAUUUUUUAAUCCAUCUCUUUCAUUCACCUCCCACCCACACCAACCACCCACCCACCACCUCCCAGUCGCCCUCACCCGCCAUCUGCUCAUCCAUCUCUCCCUCUCCAGCCGCUGCCACCAGCGCUCUGAUCUGCCUCUUUCUUUGCUGUUGCCGCCGGUGUCACGGUGGAGUGUCCACCGCCGGCGACACUACAACCACUUCCACUCCCGGACACCACCUUCGAUCGCAAUCAUCCCCCCACCCCAGCCGCCAUCAUCUUCACCUGUCAGGCCCGUCUUCUUUCGGCCUCGACUUGCUGCUGUUGAUUUUGUGCACUCACAUCUGAAACAAUCGUCAAUGAUGAUUAAUGCUAGUCACCGGAACUCUAAUCUGCUGCUGAUGUUUGUAUGUGAUGGAGGUUUUGGUCUCCGGAAGGUGGGCAGAAAUAAUGGUUGGAUGUGGUGAAUUUCAUUUUUUAUGGUGUUUUUGAUUUUCCGAUGGUAAUUUUGCUUUGUAGUUGGUGGUUUUUCAGGUUUGGGGGUUGUAAUGGUGGUUUGUAGAUGGUGGUGGUGUAGUGAUUUUAAUUUUUAGACGUUGUUUUGGUUUCCUGGCGCUGAUUUAUUGUUUUCUGUUGGUGAUUUUUUAUUUUAUGACGUUGAUUUUUCAUUUUUUGACGGUGAUUUUCAGAUUUGGGGGUGGUGGUGGUGGUUUGUAAAUGGUGGUGGUGUGGUGAUUUUAAUUUUCUGGUGUUGAUUUUUGGUUUUCUGGCGGUGAUUUUUAGUUUUCUGGUGGUGAUCUUUAGUUUUCCGAUGGUGAUUUUAUGUUUGCCGGUGGUGAUUUUCUGGUGGUCGUCGGAGGUGGUGGUGGUCGCCGGAGGAGGUGGUGGUGGUCAGCGGUGGUUGAAGGUGAUAAGUAGUUGAAUUAAAAGAAGGUGAAAUAUUAAAAUAUUAAAUGAUUGGUGAGAGAUGAAUAUAAUGUAUUUAAAUGAGUGGCUGAGAUUAGAUCUCAUAUCUCACCAUAAGAUUGGUUCUCCCUGGAGCAUGACUCUCUC
RNAcentral lists this long non-coding RNA (1053 nucleotides) under Daucus carota (carrot). RNAcentral describes it as "long non-coding RNA (DCAR_LNC004834)". Lineage: Eukaryota; Viridiplantae; Streptophyta; Magnoliopsida; Apiales; Apiaceae. The record is from RNAcentral.